CAGCAGUGGGGAAUAUUGCACAAUGGGCGAAAGCCUGAUGCAGCAACGCCGCGUGAGGGAUGACGGCCUUCGGGUUGUAAACCUCUUUUAGUAGGGAAGAAGCGAAAGUGACGGUACCUGCAGAAAAAGCACCGGCUAACUACGUGCCAGCAGCCGCGGUAAUACGUAGGGUGCAAGCGUUGUCCGGAAUUAUUGGGCGUAAAGAGCUCGUAGGCGGUUUGUCGCGUCUGCUGUGAAAUCUGGGGGCUCAACCCCCAGCCUGCAGUGGGUACGGGCAGACUAGAGUGCGGUAGGGGAGAUUGGAAUUCCUGGUGUAGCGGUGGAAUGCGCAGAUAUCAGGAGGAACACCGAUGGCGAAGGCAGAUCUCUGGGCCGUAACUGACGCUGAGGAGCGAAAGCAUGGGGAGCGAACAGGAUUAGAUACCCUGGUAGUCCAUGCCGUAAACGUUGGGAACUAGAUGUAGGGGCCAUUCCACGGUUUCUGUGUCGCAGCUAACGCAUUAAGUUCCCCGCCUGGGGAGUACGGCCGCAAGGCUAAAACUCAAAGGAAUUGACGGGGGCCCGCACAAGCGGCGGAGCAUGCGGAUUAAUUCGAUGCAACGCGAAGAACCUUACCAAGGCUUGACAUAUACCGGAAACGUCCAGAGAUGGUCGCCCCGCAAGGUCGGUAUACAGGUGGUGCAUGGUUGUCGUCAGCUCGUGUCGUGAGAUGUUGGGUUAAGUCCCGCAACGAGCGCAACCCUCGUUCUAUGUUGCCAGCACGUUAUGGUGGGAACUCAUAGGAGACUGCCGGGGUCAACUCGGAGGAAGGUGGGGAUGACGUCAAAUCAUCAUGCCCCUUAUGUCUUGGGCUUCACGCAUGCUACAAUGGCCGAUACAAAGGGCUGCGAUACCGUAAGGUGGAGCGAAUCCCAAAAAGUCGGUCUCAGUUCGGAUUGAGGUCUGCAACUCGACCUCAUGAAGUCGGAGUCGCUAGUAAUCGCAGAUCAGCAACGCUGCGGUGAAUACGUUCCCGGGCCUUGUACACACCGCCCGUCAAGUCAUGAAAGUCGGUAACACCCGAAGCCGGUGGCCCAACCUUUUGGAGGGAGCCGU
Molecule: ribosomal RNA, 1095 nt
Filed under: Frondihabitans peucedani
Lineage: Bacteria; Bacillati; Actinomycetota; Actinomycetes; Micrococcales; Microbacteriaceae
Description: bacterial SSU rRNA
Rfam family: Bacterial small subunit ribosomal RNA
Source: RNAcentral